Molecule: ribosomal RNA, 507 nt
Filed under: uncultured soil bacterium
Lineage: Bacteria
Description: bacterial SSU rRNA
Rfam family: Bacterial small subunit ribosomal RNA
Source: RNAcentral
AGAUUGAACGCUGGCGGCAGGCCUAACACAUGCAAGUCGAGCGGCAGCACGGGUACUUGUACCUGGUGGCGAGCGGCGGACGGGUGAGUAAUGCCUAGGAAUCUGCCUGAUAGUGGGGGAUAACGUUCGGAAACGGACGCUAAUACCGCAUACGUCCUACGGGAGAAAGUGGGGGAUCUUCGGACCUCACGCUAUCAGAUGAGCCUAGGUCGGAUUAGCUAGUUGGUAGGGUAAAGGCCUACCAAGGCUACGAUCCGUAACUGGUCUGAGAGGAUGAUCAGUCACACUGGAACUGAGACACGGUCCAGACUCCUACGGGAGCAGCAGUGGGGAAUAUUGGACAAUGGGCGAAAGCCUGAUCCAGCCAUGCCGCGUGUGUGAAGAAGGUCUUCGGAUUGUAAAGCUAACUUUAAGGUUGGGAAGGUAAGGGCUAAGUUUAACCUAAUUACGUUAGUGUUUUAGACGUUUACCGAACAGAAGUUAAGCAACCGGCUUAAACUCUAGUUG